RNAcentral lists this transfer RNA (73 nucleotides) under Scriptaphyosemion bertholdi. Its description in RNAcentral is "tRNA-Asn". Lineage: Eukaryota; Metazoa; Chordata; Actinopteri; Cyprinodontiformes; Nothobranchiidae. The record is from RNAcentral.
UAGACAGAUGCUUGCCGGUUUAAGCGCUUAGCUGUUAACUAGGAUUUUGUAGGAUCGAAGCCUACCUGUCUAG